Molecule: long non-coding RNA, 1767 nt
Organism: Nicotiana tabacum (common tobacco)
Lineage: Eukaryota; Viridiplantae; Streptophyta; Magnoliopsida; Solanales; Solanaceae
Source: RefSeq, a predicted model, not a curated record
CCCAAACAACAAAUCAUUCUCUUCAUCAUCACACACACACUCUCUCUCUUUCUUCUCCCCCUAAAGGAAAGGCGAAAGUCUUGGGGGAUAAAAAGAUAAGAGACAGAGAGGAAACUACACAAAUAAGCAACAAAAAUACAACUCCUAACAAUCAAGAAAGGGAGCUUUUCUAUUGUGGGGAAUGUUGUCUGGCUCGAGGAAUCUUUAAUCUUGAUCAAAUUCUUUACACAGAUCUAUCAUUAUAUAUGUUUUAUAUAUUUUUUAGAUCUUAUAUAGAUCUAUAAUUGUUAGUUGUUAGACCUAUGAAUUUUGAUCAUAUUUUUUUGCGUCGUCGGACCAGGCUUCAUUCCCCUCAGAGAUUGCUGCCAUAUAUUAGUAUCGCGAUUAAGAUCUUUUUUGGUAUAUAAAUAAGGAGGUUGUUUUCAUGGCUUGGACGUGACUUCCUGGUCACACGGCGAUUCCCUGGACGUUACCUGUUACGCCAAGAUUUAUUGUAUUACCUAUAUGACCAUAAGCUUUUAUUCCUCAAGUUUACAUUUUAUUACUGUAUUGCCAGACUAAUGAGUUUUGUUUGUGUACUGCUGGUGUAAAGUCUAUAUGUGCAUUGGCUUCAAGUUUAGGCUUGUUCUUGAAUAUGAAACAGACUCACAUAAGUGGUGCUUUUUGCAGUUUUAUCGUCAACUCGAAGGCACAUGUAACAACUGAUUGAUCUAUUGAUUAAUCUUAUAUUCAUUCACAGUUAAUCAUUUACACUAUCAGUAUAAAUUAACUUGUUUUAAAAAUGCUACACUUGUCUUAUUUUGCAGGUUCUUAACACCAUUGACUAUGGGUAGCUUUAAAUACAAAAAAUUAUUAUACUUUCAAUGUGAAAAAGUUAACCCUGAGAACACUACUUCUAGCGGUUGUAUAUGGAAAAGUAUUUGCUACUAUAUUUUUGUUGCUAUGAUGCAGUACUGUUGAGUACUUAGUGAUUGUUUUUAUUUGUUUGUAAACAGGCCUAGGUUUAAUUAUUCUUAUAGCUCUUAGGUUUGAGUUGGGAAAACAAGAGAGGAAAGUCAUUAAUGAAUACACUGAAAAACAUCUGACUGGAAAUGAAGUGGUCUAAAUGAAUGACAUAAAAAGGUGAGAGGUAGACAUCCUGCUAAGAAAAAAGAUAAGCUAUGUAGACCUAUAGGAGAGAUAACAACAAUUAAGUGUAGGCUUUCGACUACUUCCUGCAUAUUAAGAAAAACCAAAACAAAGUUCAUUAAGAAUCUAAAAAACCUAGAUUUCUGAAGUAGUAAUAACUCAGUCACAUUUAAAUCAUUAAUGAUGAAUGUUUCAAGAAAUUAUGCAGUCAUCUGGUAAAUUGGUGUUUAUCGCAAUAUUUGAAUGUAAGCGCAUUGCCGGCUCUCAUGCUCUUUCAGCAACACCAAAAGGUGCAUCAUGAAGGACAGUUCGGUGCAUCAUGAAGUAUUUGCGUCCACACAGAGUUCGAGGAAGAAUCGCAUCCUAAAAAGUGAUGUAAGUGACCUACCCUAAUGCAAGUAUCAAUGACUGAUUUGACCACCUUUGAACCAUCAGAAAUUGUUAGAAGUCUUGGUGAUUUUGAAUCUUUUUGACUUUACAAGCUUGAAAGUGGGAAUGUUAGCUUUUGUGUUACUAGUUUUUUACACCACAUACACACCCGCAAAGAAAGUUAGCUCGAUUUUGAUGCAUGAAUGGUCCAUUCGUUGACUAUUUACUGUACAUUGUUUGGUGCAUUAAAGAAAAGCUUUGACACUAUAA